GAGUGUGAUCAUACCAGCACGAUGCACUGGAUCCCAUCAGAACUCCACAGUUAAGCGUGCUUGGGCGAGAGUAGUACUAAGAUGGGUGACAUCCUGAGAAGUCCCGAUGUUCCACCCC
Molecule: ribosomal RNA, 118 nt
Filed under: Beta vulgaris subsp. vulgaris (sugar beet)
Lineage: Eukaryota; Viridiplantae; Streptophyta; Magnoliopsida; Caryophyllales; Amaranthaceae
Source: RNAcentral